AACCCGAAUUAAUAAUUAUCGGCGUAAGGCGUGUUUAAGGUUAUACCCAAAAUAAAGUUAAACCUAGACUAAGCCGUAAAAAGCCCUAGUCAUUGUAAAAUAACCUACGAAAGUGACUUUAAAAUCCUGAGCACACGGCAGCUAAGAUCCAAACUGGGAUUAGAUACCCCACUAUGCUUAGCCUCAAACCUAAGAAGUUAAAUCAACAAAACUGCUCGCCAGAGUACUACUAGCCAAAGCUUGAAACUCAAAGGACUUGGCGGUGCUUUACAUCCAUCUAGAGGAGCCUGUUCUGUAAUCGAUAAACCCCGGUAAACCUCACCAACUCUUGCCAAAU
Molecule: ribosomal RNA, 337 nt
Filed under: Rhynchonycteris naso (proboscis bat)
Lineage: Eukaryota; Metazoa; Chordata; Mammalia; Chiroptera; Emballonuridae
Description: partial 12S ribosomal RNA
Rfam family: Bacterial small subunit ribosomal RNA
Source: RNAcentral